RNAcentral lists this ribosomal RNA (709 nucleotides) under Pseudomonas sp. RNAcentral's name for it is "bacterial SSU rRNA". It matches the Rfam family "Bacterial small subunit ribosomal RNA", at positions 56 to 761 of the family's 1533-position model. Lineage: Bacteria; Pseudomonadati; Pseudomonadota; Gammaproteobacteria; Pseudomonadales; Pseudomonadaceae. The record is from RNAcentral.
UGCAGUCGAGCGGUAGAGAGGUGCUUGCACCUCUUGAGAGCGGCGGACGGGUGAGUAAAGCCUAGGAAUCUGCCUGGUAGUGGGGGAUAACGCUCGGAAACGGACGCUAAUACCGCAUACGUCCUACGGGAGAAAGCAGGGGACCUUCGGGCCUUGCGCUAUCAGAUGAGCCUAGGUCGGAUUAGCUAGUUGGUGAGGUAAUGGCUCACCAAGGCGACGAUCCGUAACUGGUCUGAGAGGAUGAUCAGUCACACUGGAACUGAGACACGGUCCAGACUCCUACGGGAGGCAGCAGUGGGGAAUAUUGGACAAUGGGCGAAAGCCUGAUCCAGCCAUGCCGCGUGUGUGAAGAAGGUCUUCGGAUUGUAAAGCACUUUAAGUUGGGAGGAAGGGCAUUAACCUAAUACGUUAGUGUUUUGACGUUACCGACAGAAUAAGCACCGGCUAACUCUGUGCCAGCAGCCGCGGUAAUACAGAGGGUGCAAGCGUUAAUCGGAAUUACUGGGCGUAAAGCGCGCGUAGGUGGUUCGUUAAGUUGGAUGUGAAAUCCCCGGGCUCAACCUGGGAACUGCAUUCAAAACUGUCGAGCUAGAGUAUGGUAGAGGGUGGUGGAAUUUCCUGUGUAGCGGUGAAAUGCGUAGAUAUAGGAAGGAACACCAGUGGCGAAGGCGACCACCUGGACUGAUACUGACACUGAGGUGCGAAAGCG